GUGAACGCUGGCGGUAGGCCUAACCCAUACCAGUCGAACGGCAGCACCGUAAGAGCUUGCUCUUACGGGUGGCGAGUGGCGGACGGGUGAGGAAUACAUCGGAAUCUACUCUUUCGUGGGGGAUAACGUAGGGAAACUUACACUAAUACCGCAUACGACCUACGGGUGAAAGCAGGGGAUCUUCGUACCUUGCGCGAUUGAAUGAGCCGAUGUCGGAUUAGCUAGGUGGCGGGGUAAAGGCCCACCAAGGCGACGAUCCGCAGCUGGACGGAGAGGAUGAUGAGCCACACUGGAACUGAGACACGGGCCAGACUCCUACGGGAGGCAGCAGUGGGGAAUAUUGGACAAUGGGCGCAAGCCUGAUCCAGCCAUACCGCGUGGGUGAAGAAGGCCUUCGGGUUGUAAAGCCCUUUUGUUGGGAAAGAAAAGCAGCAGGUUAAUACCCCGCUGUUCUGACGGUACCCAAAGAAUAAGCACCGGCUAACUUCGUG
Molecule: ribosomal RNA, 491 nt
Filed under: uncultured bacterium
Lineage: Bacteria
Description: partial 16S ribosomal RNA
Rfam family: Bacterial small subunit ribosomal RNA
Source: RNAcentral